CCCGAUGUGAGAAUUAUAAGGUCUUUAAUGUGCCUGGAAAAUUCAAAGAGGUGAAUUCUGAAUUAAAUGGAUGAGACGAAAAAAGGUUAUCCAUUGGAACGUUCAGGACUGUUUGGACUAUUAUAUAGCUAAUAAUUCAGAAAUUCGAUGUGAAACUCAUCAUUCAGAAAAAGUGAUAUUUGAGAUUUAUGCUUGGAAGCUUGGAAGCUUGAAAGAUUGAGGAAUUUGUUAGCAGAGUGAGAUGGUAGCUUGAGAGAUGGACGAGAUACGAUAAUAUUUACACGAAUACGCGACGGCUACCACGACACUGAUUUCACCUUCAGGUUUGGUUGGGCGUCAGGGGGCCUCCCUGUACUGUGUGUAAUAAUGUGUUCUACUCCUUUGUCCAAUUUUUCUUUGCAUUUUUAUGUUUUUCAAUUUACCAAUUCUAAAUUCAAUUAUUUAUGCGUAGUUGAAUUGAAAAAUAUUCUGUAAAUCAUGUUUUUAUUGAUUUAUUUCAAAGAUAGAAUAGCGAUGUGACGAAACGGAAUAUUUCAAGUUCAACAUUUAUAUUAAUUAUGCAUUCGUCUUCGGUGUAAAUGUGAUUCUCCGAGAAAAUGUCACGAUGUUCAUUCAUUUUUUCAUAAUACAGACGCAGCUCCUUGACAUUCUCAUUAAAAAUCAUAAAUUUUUGGGAUGAAUUUCGAAUCAUUAUUUUGGAAUUAAAGAGAAUGUAAAGUUUUUCAAUGAAACUAGAAUAAAAUAGCCAAUUUUCUUGUUCAACCUUUAUCAGUUGACAAUGCACUCUAAUAUUUAUCCACAUCACAAAGCAUCGUUCCCCCUCAGCUUUAAAUUGCCCUUUUCUCUUGGCUAAAUAUUGAAAUUCAACAUAAAAAAAAAAGCUUGCGAAACAUUCUUAGAAAAUAAAUAUUCUUUUUGUCAUUCGAUAAAUUUUUAUUAUACGCUUUUCACGUAAAGCAGCAUAAUGAUUUUUUUU
Molecule: long non-coding RNA, 976 nt
Organism: Fopius arisanus
Lineage: Eukaryota; Metazoa; Arthropoda; Insecta; Hymenoptera; Braconidae
Exons: 3
Source: RefSeq, a predicted model, not a curated record